This is a long non-coding RNA of Corticium candelabrum, 369 nucleotides long. RefSeq lists it as uncharacterized. Lineage: Eukaryota; Metazoa; Porifera; Homoscleromorpha; Homosclerophorida; Plakinidae. The transcript is spliced from 3 exons. The record is from RefSeq and is a predicted model, not a curated record.
ACCUGUAUCUAUCAUCGAGUAAUCAUAGAUAAAUGUAUGAUUCAUUAUAAGAAAUUUGAAUAUACCAGACAAAACAAAAACAUAUAACACCAAUUAAAACUAAACGACAAAUAUAUAGGUAUGUUUGUUGCAAUUUUGUCAAAUUAUUUCGUUUUAGCCGGAAACUAUAGAUAUCAGUGACGAUGAUGACAAACAAACAACCACAAGGAAAGUGUCAUUAACCACACCUGAGUCAACAGUUCAAACCAGGGCAGCUGUGCUGGCAAGACCUAAUUUCAGUCGUAAGCAAACGAUACAUUGCUCAGAAAAAGAGAUAGAAAACUGUUUUUGGGAACUUGACGGCGGUGGCUACAUCACAGCACUUUUGGC